RNA transcript from Otolemur garnettii (small-eared galago), 986 nucleotides. It is a transcript of the gene named protein N-terminal asparagine amidohydrolase pseudogene, with no coding region annotated. The record is from RefSeq and is a predicted model, not a curated record. The annotation marks the transcript as partial. Lineage: Eukaryota; Metazoa; Chordata; Mammalia; Primates; Galagidae. The transcript has a single exon.
CUGCCGCGUCCAUUGGGUACCUCGUCCGAGCUCACCCGCCUCUGGAGGAAAGAGCCAGACUUCUCAGCGGUCGGUCUGUUCAACAAGUGGGACCCCAGGGCCUUCUGUAUGUUCAGCAGAGAGAGCCUGCAGUGACCUCCCCAAAGGAUGGCUCCAUCUCCAUUCUGGGUUCUGAUGAUGCCACCACUUGUCACAUUGUGGUCCUGAGGCACACAGGUAAUGGGGCAGCCUGCCUGACACAUUGUGAUGGAAGCAACACCAAAGCUGAGGUCCCCUUGAUCAUGAACCCCAUAAAAUCCUUUUCCGACCACACUCAAUGUGGAAGGCUAGAAGGGCACCUCCUGGGAGGCUUCAGUGACGAUAGGAGGCAGUUGUCACAAAAACUUACCCAUCAACUUCUCAGUGAAUUUGACAGUCGAGAAGAUGAUAGUCACUUAGUGACAUCAUGCGUGACAGAAUUAAAUGGCCGAGAAGAAAAUGAAAACCACUUCCCAGUCAUUUAUGGCAUUGCUGUUAACGCUAAAACUGCAGAGAUUUACAGAGCCUCUUUUCAAGAUCGGGGUCCAGAGGAAGAACUACGCACUGCGUGGGUUUUAACAGGGGGACCAAUGAUUAGCAUUUACGAUGCAAAGACAGAACAACUUCGGAUAGGACCUUAUUCCUGGAUGCCAUUUCCUCAUGUGGAUUUCUGGUUGCAGCACGAUGAUAAAGAAAUACUAGAGAACUUUUCCACGUCACCUUUGGCUGAGCCGCCCCACUUUGUGGAACAUAUUAGAUCUACCUUGAUGUUUUUUUUUAAAAAAAAAAACCCAUCUCCAACUAACAAGCUGUUUCCCGGAAAUAAAGCUCUACUCUACAAAAAAAAAAAAAGAAGAUCUUUCUUAUGGGAAAAGAUCUCUUCUCCAGGAAGCUAACCAUAGGAUAUUACCAAAGAAAGCAACUUUUUGGCAUGACAAAGACCAUUGAUGGGGGCUGGAAAGAACAUG